RNAcentral lists this ribosomal RNA (304 nucleotides) under Bacillus subtilis. RNAcentral's name for it is "partial 16S ribosomal RNA". It matches the Rfam family "Bacterial small subunit ribosomal RNA", at positions 1 to 293 of the family's 1533-position model. The record is from RNAcentral. Lineage: Bacteria; Bacillati; Bacillota; Bacilli; Caryophanales; Bacillaceae.
AUUUAUCGGAGAGUUUGAUCCUGGCUCAGGACGAACGCUGGCGGCGUGCCUAAUACAUGCAAGUCGAGCGGACAGAUGGGAGCUUGCUCCCUGAUGUUAGCGGCGGACGGGUGAGUAACACGUGGGUAACCUGCCUGUAAGACUGGGAUAACUCCGGGAAACCGGGGCUAAUACCGGAUGCUUAUUUGAACCGCAUGGUUCAAAUAUAAAAGGUGGCUUCGGCUACCGCUUACAGAUGGACCCGCGGCGCAUUAGCUAGUUGGUGAGGUAACGGCUCACCAAGGCAACGAUGCGUAGCCGACCU